AAGGCUUUAAGUUAAAUAUUAAACUAAUAACCUUCAAAGCUAAAAAUAGAGAAAUUAAUCUUUAAGCCUUA
This 71-nucleotide transfer RNA is filed under the name Allacta bimaculata. RNAcentral describes it as "tRNA-Trp". It matches the Rfam family "tRNA". Rfam says of the family: Transfer RNA (tRNA) molecules are approximately 80 nucleotides in length. Their secondary structure includes four short double-helical elements and three loops (D, anti-codon, and T loops). Lineage: Eukaryota; Metazoa; Arthropoda; Insecta; Blattodea; Pseudophyllodromiidae. The record is from RNAcentral.